This 465-nucleotide ribosomal RNA is filed under the name Vreelandella stevensii. Its description in RNAcentral is "partial 16S ribosomal RNA". It matches the Rfam family "Bacterial small subunit ribosomal RNA", at positions 338 to 795 of the family's 1533-position model. Lineage: Bacteria; Pseudomonadati; Pseudomonadota; Gammaproteobacteria; Oceanospirillales; Halomonadaceae. The record is from RNAcentral.
CCUACGGGUGGCAGCAGUGGGGAAUAUUGGACAAUGGGCGAAAGCCUGAUCCAGCCAUUCCGCGUGUGUGAAGAAGGCCUUCGGGUUGUAAAGCACUUUCAGUGGGGAAGAAAGCCUGCGGGCUAAUACCCUCGAGGAAGGACAUCACCCACAGAAGAAGCACCGGCUAACUCCGUGCCAGCAGCCGCGGUAAUACGGAGGGUGCGAGCGUUAAUCGGAAUUACUGGGCGUAAAGCGCGCGUAGGCGGUCUGGUAAGCCGGUUGUGAAAGCCCCGGGCUCAACCUGGGAACGGCAUCCGGAACUGUCAGGCUAGAGUGCAGGAGAGGAAGAUAGAAUUCCCGGUGUAGCGGUGAAAUGCGUAGAGAUCGGGAGGAAUACCAGUGGCGAAGGCGGCCUUCUGGACUGACACUGACGCUGAGGUGCGAAAGCGUGGGUAGCAAACAGGAUUAGAUACCCUAGUAGUC